Molecule: ribosomal RNA, 254 nt
Filed under: uncultured bacterium
Lineage: Bacteria
Description: partial 16S ribosomal RNA
Rfam family: Bacterial small subunit ribosomal RNA
Source: RNAcentral
CACGUAGGGGGCAAGCGUUGUCCGGAUUUAUUGGGCGUAAAGAGCUCGUAGGCGGUUCGGUAAGUCGGGUGUGAAACCUCCAGGCUCAACCUGGAGACGCCACCUGAUACUGCUGUGACUUGAGUCCGGUAGGGGAGCGUGGAAUUCCUGGUGUAGCGGUGAAAUGCGCAGAUAUCAGGAGGAACACCAGCGGCGAAGGCGGCGCUCUGGGCCGGUACUGACGCUGAGGAGCGAAAGCGUGGGUAGCAAACAGG